GACGAACGCUGGCGGCGUGCCUAAUACAUGCAAGUUGAGCGCUGAAGGUUGGUACUUGUACCAACUGGAUGAGCAGCGCACGGGUGAGUAACGCGUGGGGAAUCUGCCUUUGAGCGGGGGACAACAUUUGGAAACGAAUGCUAAUACCGCAUAAAAACUUUAAACACAAGUUUUAAGUUUGAAAGAUGCAAUUGCAUCACUCAAAGAUGAUCCCGCGUUGUAUUAGCUAGUUGGUGAGGUAAAGGCUCACCAAGGCGAUGAUACAUAGCCGACCUGAGAGGGUGAUCGGCCACAUUGGGACUGAGACACGGCCCAAAAUCCUACGGGAGGCAGCAGUAGGGAAUCUUCGGCAAUGGACGAAAGUCUGACCGAGCAACGCCGCGUGAGUGAAGAAGGUUCUCGGAUCGUAAAACUCUGUUGGUAGAGAAGAACGUUGGUGAGAGUGGAAAGCUCAUCAAGUGACGGUAACUACCCAGAAAGGGACGGCUAACUACGUG
Molecule: ribosomal RNA, 497 nt
Filed under: uncultured bacterium
Lineage: Bacteria
Description: partial 16S ribosomal RNA
Rfam family: Bacterial small subunit ribosomal RNA
Source: RNAcentral